This 494-nucleotide ribosomal RNA is filed under the name uncultured bacterium. Its description in RNAcentral is "partial 16S ribosomal RNA". It matches the Rfam family "Bacterial small subunit ribosomal RNA", at positions 28 to 507 of the family's 1533-position model. The record is from RNAcentral.
GACGAACGCUGGCGGCGUGCUUAACACAUGCAAGUCGAACGGUGAAGCGCCUUCCUUUUUGGUGGGUGUGGAUGAGUGGCGAACGGGUGAGUAACACGUGAGUAACCUGCCCCCUUCUUCUGGAUAACCGCAUGAAAGUGUGGCUAAUACGGGAUAUUCUGGGUCUGUCGCAUGAUGGGUCUGGGAAAGAUAUUGUUUCGGUGGGGGAUGGGCUCGCGGCCUAUCAGCUUGUUGGUGGGGUGAUGGCCUACCAAGGCGGUGACGGGUAGCCGGCCUGAGAGGGUGGACGGUCACACUGGGACUGAGACACGGCCCAGACUCCUACGGGAGGCAGCAGUGGGGAAUAUUGCACAAUGGGCGCAAGCCUGAUGCAGCGACGCCGCGGGAGGGAUGGAGGCCUUCGGGUUGUGAACCUCUUUCGCCAGUGAAGCAGGCCUGCCUCGUUUGUGGGUGGGUUGAUGGUAGCUGGAUAAGAAGCGCCGGCUAACUACGUG